Molecule: ribosomal RNA, 2622 nt
Filed under: Salmonella enterica subsp. enterica serovar Enteritidis
Lineage: Bacteria; Pseudomonadati; Pseudomonadota; Gammaproteobacteria; Enterobacterales; Enterobacteriaceae
Description: partial 23S ribosomal RNA
Rfam family: Bacterial large subunit ribosomal RNA
Source: RNAcentral
AACUGAAUCCAUAGGUUAAUGAGGCGAACCGGGGGAACUGAAACAUCUAAGUACCCCGAGGAAAAGAAAUCAACCGAGAUUCCCCCAGUAGCGGCGAGCGAACGGGGAGGAGCCCAGAGCCUGAAUCAGCAUGUGUGUUAGUGGAAGCGUCUGGAAAGGCGCGCGAUACAGGGUGACAGCCCCGUACACAAAAGCGCAUGUGCUGUGAGCUCGAUGAGUAGGGCGGGACACGUGGUAUCCUGUCUGAAUAUGGGGGGACCAUCCUCCAAGGCUAAAUACUCCUGACUGACCGAUAGUGAACCAGUACCGUGAGGGAAAGGCGAAAAGAACCCCGGCGAGGGGAGUGAAAAAGAACCUGAAACCGUGUACGUACAAGCAGUGGGAGCACCCUUUGGGUGUGACUGCGUACCUUUUGUAUAAUGGGUCAGCGACUUAUAUUCUGUAGCAAGGUUAACCGAAUAGGGGAGCCGGAGGGAAACCGAGUCUUAACCGGGCGUUAAGUUGCAGGGUAUAGACCCGAAACCCGGUGAUCUAGCCAUGGGCAGGUUGAAGGUUGGGUAACACUAACUGGAGGACCGAACCGACUAAUGUUGAAAAAUUAGCGGAUGACCUGUGGCUGGGGGUGAAAGGCCAAUCAAACCGGGAGAUAGCUGGUUCUCCCCGAAAGCUAUUUAGGUAGCGCCUCGUGAAUUCAUCUCCGGGGGUAGAGCACUGUUUCGGCUAGGGGGCCAUCCCGGCUUACCAACCCGAUGCAAACUGCGAAUACCGGAGAAUGUUAUCACGGGAGACACACGGCGGGUGCUAACGUCCGUCGUGAAGAGGGAAACAACCCAGACCGCCAGCUAAGGUCCCAAAGUCAUGGUUAAGUGGGAAACGAUGUGGGAAGGCCCAGACAGCCAGGAUGUUGGCUUAGAAGCAGCCAUCAUUUAAAGAAAGCGUAAUAGCUCACUGGUCGAGUCGGCCUGCGCGGAAGAUGUAACGGGGCUAAACCAUGCACCGAAGCUGCGGCAGCGACACUGUGUGUUGUUGGGUAGGGGAGCGUUCUGUAAGCCUGUGAAGGUGUGUCGUGAGGCAUGCUGGAGGUAUCAGAAGUGCGAAUGCUGACAUAAGUAACGAUAAAGCGGGUGAAAAGCCCGCUCGCCGGAAGACCAAGGGUUCCUGUCCAACGUUAAUCGGGGCAGGGUGAGUCGACCCCUAAGGCGAGGCCGAAAGGCGUAGUCGAUGGGAAACGGGUUAAUAUUCCCGUACUUGGUGUUACUGCGAAGGGGGGACGGAGAAGGCUAUGUUGGCCGGGCGACGGUUGUCCCGGUUUAAGCGUGUAGGUGUGUGUUCCAGGUAAAUCCGGUUCACUUUAACACUGAGGCGUGACGACGAGGCACUACGGUGCUGAAGCAACAAAUGCCCUGCUUCCAGGAAAAGCCUCUAAGCAUCAGGUAACAUCAAAUCGUACCCCAAACCGACACAGGUGGUCAGGUAGAGAAUACCAAGGCGCUUGAGAGAACUCGGGUGAAGGAACUAGGCAAAAUGGUGCCGUAACUUCGGGAGAAGGCACGCUGACACGUAGGUGAAGUGAUUUACUCAUGGAGCUGAAGUCAGUCGAAGAUACCAGCUGGCUGCAACUGUUUAUUAAAAACACAGCACUGUGCAAACACGAAAGUGGACGUAUACGGUGUGACGCCUGCCCGGUGCCGGAAGGUUAAUUGAUGGGGUCAGCGCAAGCGAAGCUCCUGAUCGAAGCCCCGGUAAACGGCGGCCGUAACUAUAACGGUCCUAAGGUAGCGAAAUUCCUUGUCGGGUAAGUUCCGACCUGCACGAAUGGCGUAAUGAUGGCCAGGCUGUCUCCACCCGAGACUCAGUGAAAUUGAACUCGCUGUGAAGAUGCAGUGUACCCGCGGCAAGACGGAAAGACCCCGUGAACCUUUACUAUAGCUUGACACUGAACAUUGAGCCUUGAUGUGUAGGAUAGGUGGGAGGCUUUGAAGUGUGGACGCCAGUCUGCAUGGAGCCGACCUUGAAAUACCACCCUUUAAUGUUUGAUGUUCUAACGUGGACCCGUUACCCGGGUUGCGGACAGUGUCUGGUGGGUAGUUUGACUGGGGCGGUCUCCUCCUAAAGAGUAACGGAGGAGCACGAAGGUUGGCUAAUCCUGGUCGGACAUCAGGAGGUUAGUGCAAUGGCAUAAGCCAGCUUGACUGCGAGCGUGACGGCGCGAGCAGGUGCGAAAGCAGGUCAUAGUGAUCCGGUGGUUCUGAAUGGAAGGGCCAUCGCUCAACGGAUAAAAGGUACUCCGGGGAUAACAGGCUGAUACCGCCCAAGAGUUCAUAUCGACGGCGGUGUUUGGCACCUCGAUGUCGGCUCAUCACAUCCUGGGGCUGAAGUAGGUCCCAAGGGUAUGGCUGUUCGCCAUUUAAAGUGGUACGCGAGCUGGGUUUAGAACGUCGUGAGACAGUUCGGUCCCUAUCUGCCGUGGGCGCUGGAGAACUGAGGGGGGCUGCUCCUAGUACGAGAGGACCGGAGUGGACGCAUCACUGGUGUUCGGGUUGUCAUGCCAAUGGCACUGCCCGGUAGCUAAAUGCGGAAGAGAUAAGUGCUGAAAGCAUCUAAGCACGAAACUUGCCCCGA